AGUGGGGAAUAGCCCAGGGAAACUUGGAUUAAUACCCCCGUAAUAUUAUGAAGUGGCAUCACUUUAUAAUUAUAGCUCAGGCGCUUGAAGAUGGGUGUGCGGCUGAUUAGGUAGUUGGCGGGGUAACGGCCCACCAAGCCUACGAUCAGUAACUGGUGUGAGAGCACGACCAGUCACACGGGCACUGAGACACGGGCCCGACUCCUACGGGAGGCAGCAGUAAGGAAUAUUGGUCAAUGGACGCAAGUCUGAACCAGCCAUGCCGCGUGGAGGAUGAAGGUCCUCUGGAUUGUAAACUUCUUUUCUCUGGGGCGAAAAAAGGAUAUUCUUAUCCUCCUGACAGUACCAGAGGAAUAAGCACCGGCUAACUCCGUGCCAGCAGCCGCGGUAAUACGGAGGGUGCAAGCGUUAUCCGGAUUCACUGGGUUUAAAGGGUGCGUAGGUGGGCAGGUAAGUCAGUGGUGAAAUCCCCGAGCUUAACUUGGGAACUGCCAUUGAUACUAUCUGUCUUGAAUACCUUGGAGGUGAGCGGAAUAUGUCAUGUAGCGGUGAAAUGCUUAGAUAUGACAUAGAACACCAAUUGCGAAGGCAGCUCACUACACGGUCAUUGACACUGAGGCACGAAAGCGUGGGGAUCAAACAGGAUUAGAUACCCUGGUAGUCCACGCCCUAAACGAUGGAUACUCGACAUCAGCGAUACACUGUUGGUGUCUGAGCGAAAGCAUUAAGUUCCCACC
This 737-nucleotide ribosomal RNA is filed under the name Flavitalea sp. RNAcentral describes it as "bacterial SSU rRNA". It matches the Rfam family "Bacterial small subunit ribosomal RNA", at positions 135 to 873 of the family's 1533-position model. The record is from RNAcentral. Lineage: Bacteria; Pseudomonadati; Bacteroidota; Chitinophagia; Chitinophagales; Chitinophagaceae.